UGCCGCGCUCCUGUCCUCGUCCGCCAGGCCAAAGUUUCUCCUGGCCCUUCCCAGCUUCCGGCCCUUCGCUCCAGGCCAGGUCGCAGGGCCAGGCGGUGCCAGGAGCUCGCGAAUCCUCUGUUUACUGUUUGGUUUCCACGGUGACACGUAGGCGCCGACAGCUACUCCCGUCACCGCCCCGCAGCGCGGCCCCCACCCGGCGCCUUGACGUCGGCCCUCCGCUUCCGCUCUGCCCAUAUUUGGCUCAGCCACUGCGCAGCCGGCCCGGGGUAGGCUGAGGGCGGGACUCCCACCGCGCCCCGCCCCCGGUUCCUGCCCCGCCCCCUGGAAUGCUGGGCAGAGGCUCCGAGCCACGAGACCCCCGCCCCCAGCCCCGGGACCCACCUGGGCGGAGGCGAGGGCUGGGGCGCUGGGGGCCCAGAGAGAGGACGCCGCGAUUGAUGGAUGAGCUGUUUCCAGCAUUCCUGUGCGUCUGCUGGUUGAGGCUGCAGUCAAGAUUUGGGGCUGUCUCGUUUGUUGUGGGCUGAAAAUGAAGGCAACUCGGACUAAGAAGACGGCUGCUUUCCAACUGCCCUCUCGCCCUGCAGCCCGCGGAUUUGAGGAAGGGGCUGGGAUCCUUCCCCUUGCUCCCUGGUUGUUCUUGGGAGUUACAGCAGCCCCGCGGCAGCUCUGCCUCCUAGUGCACAUGUGAGGCAACGCGCCCUUCUCAUCCAGAAGCCUCCUCGCGGUGCUGCCAGUAAGGGAGUUUUUCUGUAUUCAUUCCGGUGGAACAAGCAAAACUUGACAACCCCAAGCCAAACCAAAACACACGAGCCAUUGUA
Molecule: long non-coding RNA, 821 nt
Organism: Chlorocebus sabaeus (green monkey)
Lineage: Eukaryota; Metazoa; Chordata; Mammalia; Primates; Cercopithecidae
Source: RefSeq, a predicted model, not a curated record